UAUGUUCAUGAGCCCUCUGCUUCUGAAGGUCUGUAGAUAGAGAUGAGGAAUCUGUAUUCCCACAUCUAAGAUGUUUUGGAGGAGUUUUGACCUCUCUAGUUCUGGCUCGUGUUCUUCCUGCUGUGGAAAUGGAUGAAUGACCCAGGUUAGCUGGGAAGCCUUAACCUAAUCACUGUUUUUAUGUAAUAAACAAGCUUUACCUUUUAAAAAAAGCUGUCACUCUGUAGUGAUUUCGUGUUUCCAUGGCAAUGGGAGUGACAGCCACAGCAGAAGGAAAUAUUAGUGGCAUUUUCCAGAUUCUAAAAUGGGGCUGAAUCUAGCACAGAGAAUAGGUUUGAAUAGGCUGAAGCCUUUAUUGUCUUUGGUAAGAGGAUAGAAAAUCCGUGAUGCCUAACUAUGAGAAAUCAAAACCUCAAGUUAUCCUUAACUUCUAAUUUUGUUCAGAGAGGCUUAUCUUAAAAGAAUGUCUCUUCAGAACAUCAAAACACACUUGGAAGAGCUCCAGGGCCUUUCAAGAAGGGAGACUUCCCAGCUGUUGCUACUUUCCUGGUGAACCAGAAUGUCCAGACCACGUGCCUCUUGUUGCAGAGGUUUACUCAAGAGAUAGCUGCUUCCUUCAGUGUGACAUGUUUAAAAAUGCAAUGCCAAAUUUUCAAUUCACUUUUAGCCCAGCAGAAAGUAAUCCAGGCUGUGUAGGUUUAAACCUCGAAGCAUGCCAGAGUUGUUUGAGCAGCUAUGUAAGAAGCUCUGCGGUGUGUUAGUCAUGGUGCCAAGCCCCGUCAUGGGCUUUUUCAUCACUUCUUUUUUUUUUCCCCCCCUUUUGCUUGUUUCACAGACAGAGGGGGAAGGGGACAAACAACAGGCAACUUCAAAUGAUACAUUUAACAGACUUUAAGAAUAAACCAGAUGUGUGCAUUUCUGGUAACAUUCAGGUAGUGCAUUUUUAGCUGUUAAGGCAACUGCCCAUAAUUUAUAGCUACUGAAGAGGCACAGUAGAGCCAUAUAAUUUCACUGCCUGCUGUGUGGAAAGUGUAAAAAUACCUGUAGAGGGACAAGUGUUUCGAACACUUAAAAUCGGGUAGCGCCAUUGUGCUGACUUAAAUCAGAGCUAUUUCCCAAGUGCAAGUGUAACCACUUUAUGGAACUGCAGUUCAGUAAAUCUGUAAUUUUAAGCUUGCCAAACUAGUCGCAGAAGAACAAAGAUCAGGUUUGUUAUAAAUAAACAAGCAUAAUGAAGCAAUGCUGAGUGUGAGAAAAUGGAACAGUUGAAGCUUUUAGUUUUCUGUGCUAGGGAGAGGACAAAAGUCUUUCCUGUUCUCUGCAGUUUCUAGCUCUUUAGUAAUCUACUUAAACCGUCUUUAUAGAAUUGUCACUGAUUUUUCUUCUAACAGGCUGGGAAGUGAGAGUGGAGUUGCCAUCCAUUUUCAGUAGUUGUUGUCUCCAGGUGACAGUCGUGGCCACUUCUAAAACAAGUUAGAGGUUUACAUUAACCUGAGAAAUGCCUGUUUUUUUCUGAGCAGCCAUAUCCUGUAUGUUCUCCUUAAGGGACUUACUGCCCAAGAGGAAUUCUUGAACGUGGGGGUUUGCAUCUUAAAUCCAAGCAUUAUAUCUGCUCUUUACCUCCAAUCCCUGGAUUGGCUUCCUAUGUAAUGUUAAGAGGCAGAUGUUUUAAUCCCUUUACUACUGGGAGGGGCUAUAGGGAGAGAAAGCAUGCUUGUGAGAGCUCCAUAGUGCUAUUUUUAGUUGCUUAGUUUUCCUUCUGUUGUAGAAAUAAUUACUAAUGUCUUUUUGUUCUUGUUCAGAGAGCUUGCUUGCCCUCUUGCCCGCUCCUACCCCGCCGAGAGAAUGGAGUAGUUUAAGCUUCCUAAAACAUUAAUGUCUUGCUCAAAAGUUGGCAAAACAUAAUACAAGAUCAAUUGUAAGUAGCCCUUGCUAAAGGGCUAAAGGAACUUCUUUCACGAAGUGAUUAAACUUGAGUGAUAAUUUUCUUCCACAAGUUGAUGAGAGUUAGACUGAAGGAUCUUGUUCUUGUCAAUGUGUAAUAUUAGCUUGCAUUGUUAUCUGUGAUAGGUCUUAGAUAAUGUGUAAGUUAAGGGAGAAGGAAGACUAGCUUUCAGUAUUCUAGGAAACCUUCAGAGAUGCUUUCAAGUAUUAACUUGUUUACCCUGUUGGAUUAGGAAUGUGAGUCUUCCUUGAGGAUGCUUGCUUAAAUUCUUGGAUCCAUGGCUGUUCAUUCUUCCCUUUUUCUUUGUCUCCCUCACUUCCUUUAAGGCCAUUCUCAUUCUUCUACAUUUUCUUGCAUUUAAUUCACUAUAUUCAAUGACCAGAACAUUUGCUCUAGUUUAAUUUUGGUGAGAAUGCAGCUAGAUAGAAACCAGACAUUGUCUUCUCUGGUGCAAGCUGGUUUAUGCUGCAUCUAUUCAGAGUGGUGACCAUUUAAUACUUGCCUUUUUUUUUCUUUACUGUUUUUACAGAUUCCAUUCAAAGUCGCUGAAACUAUAAUGCUAGAGAAUGUUAUUGCUUGCUUCUCCCCCACUCCUGCCCUAGUUUUACUUUGUGAGUUUAAAAGCAUUUAUAAAAUACCUUUUUUUUUUUUAAAAAAAAAAAAAAAAAAGUUACUUUAACUGUAAGCUUAAAAAGUGUUUGAAGAAUAGCAGUUAAACAGGUGGAUCUGGGAAGGUUUCAUACCUGGAAUUCUUGGAUAUUCUUUCAACUGAAUAAAUUUCAAAUAGGUAACUUUUCUUCAAGUGGAUUGCUUGAAAGUUUGUUAGCAAAGUUGCAUUUAAGUCCACUUCAAGAACAUAUGGAAGUCCAUUCUGUUGUAAAAUGUGCCGAUAUAUGUAUGAUUUUUUUUGGUGAAACUCGACUUUUAUUUCCAGAAUAGGUGAGUCAAUCACAGGCGGUAGAAUAUGGCUGGACAAAUAUCAGAAUCUGAUCAGAUCAAGCAGUUCAAGGAGUUUCUUGGAACGUACAAUAAACUUACAGAAAACUGCUUCCUGGAUUGCAUAAAGGAUUUCACUACCAGAGAGGUUAAACCAGAAGAGUAUACACACAGUGAGGGGAUCUUCCUGAUCUCACUUGAGUAUUGGCUGCUUAUUGCAAUUCUGUGUAUUUCAUUCUCUGAGCUAUCAGUGGAGGUUCUUGUGCCUCAGCUUCUGAUGGGUGGUAUCUUUGUGGACAUGGAAGUUGCCCACCUACAGCCUGCAUCUCGCUCUUUGAAGAUCACGUGCUCAGAUCACUGCCUACAGAAGUAUUUAAAAAUGACACAAAGGAUCUCCAUGAGAUUUCAGGAAUACCAUAUUCAGCAGAACGAAGCUCUGGCAGCUAAAGCAGGACUGCUUGGCCAACCUCGUUAGACAAGAGCACUCUGUUCAGACUUUACAAGCAGUGCCAGUGCUCACUGGGCAAGAACACAUUUUGGAUUUUCUACUGUCAGGAUUUAUGUCCAACAACUCGAAGAGAGUUCUAGAUGCUGUUCAGACAGUGGAAACCAUGAAGGGUUAAACUGGUGGACUGGCAAUGGAGUCUGUUUCUGAGGUGCUUUUCACUCUCCAAUGGAGUUAUAUUGACACAAACUUUUCCAGGGCCCACAGACUGCUUGAAACCUUACCCAUUCCUAAGGGAACUAAUUUUCAGAAAAUGAAUGAGCAUCAAGAGAGUUUUAAGCUGCACAUGCACGUAAGUGCCUUGCUAAAAAGAAAAAAAAAUAAAGGCACACUUGCACGAUAUAACAAAGUAUUCUGUACAAAUUCCACAUUUUACCGCUUCUUACAUAACUGGCAUAGCUGGCGGGAUCAUGGCAAAUUAGGUCAAACUGUACCCAGAUGAGGGAUUAGAGGAGGAGGAGUUUAGAAAUAGCUGAAGACACAGACAGGGCUGGAAUGGAAAUAUUGGGUUACUCACAAGAGCUGGGAAAGAGAGACAUGGCCAGUAAUGCAGAACUCACCAACAAGGCUCGGAGGGAGAAUUAAGCAAACGUGCUACCGAUAAACAAUCUGCAGGUUUUCACAACUGUAAUGGAGCUCUAGUGCCGAUUUUCUUUGCUGGCAAUGAUGAAACCUAGAGAAAGUAAUCGUUGCAAUGUUUCUUUGUUUUUUUCAUAAUGAGUGAGCUGUACUGGUGAGUUAAAGCCAAGUCUUAAAACAAACACAGACAUUUUUUCAUCUCUGAAAACUAUUGGUAUAGGAUAAACAACAGCAUAAGGGUACUAACUAAUAUAAAUAGCAGGUAGUUGCAGACCUGAAGCAGAACCAACCAGCGCAGCCCUGCUCUGGAGCAGAAAGUAGGAUUUCUCUGAAAAUGGGAAGAGCAGGAAUAGCAACGUAAAUAGCACUGAGAUAAUUCAAAACAAAGAGGAAACCAGGAAAGUCUUAUUCUUAGGAAGGGUGAGAAACAGUCUGCUUUCACAAUUAAGAUUGCCUUAAUCUUUUCAGUUUUCUUUAACUGAAAACACAGUAUUUGUCAUUGGGCUGUGACUAAUCACAAAAUCCACCAUCCACUGCAUUAAGGCAAGCACAUAGUCAGACCAAUAACACUGUGACAGGAAAAACUGAAUUUAUAUAUUCCUCCAAAGCAAUGGAUGACACUAAUAAAUGCUUGUGGAACUCACAGAUUUCCAAAACAAACAAACAAAGCCCAAUAAAUACAAGUUACUUAGUGUUAACUAAUAAAGUAAUUUUAAACUCUACCAGAGAUCUCUUUAAAAAAAUCAUCCUCUUUGAUAGAAGGUAAUAUGGGAGAAUGGCAGAUUUUCUCAAAAUCUGAGGGCAAUAGCUUGAUAAAUAGUGUGAGCUAAUUAUAAAAUGUCUUUUUCCUAAGCCCUGGAAUCACAGUGACUCAGUCUCUGGCAGCACCCCCAUUGGUUCCUCUCUUUAUUAUGUUUCUUACAUCUCCAGAGGUAGUCUUUGUCCUGCACACUGUAGCAAAUAAUAAAAUCCAAAGUACAGAGAAGUAAAAAAUAACCAAGAUUUUACUGCAAAACACAAGGGCACAGUGGAGUAAACAGCUCAACAUACUUUUGUUAACACAUUCAUCUUUUGUUUCAGCUUGUAAAUCUUUCCUCUGGCUCCUCUGUCAGAUUUGUUUCAAGCCAUCAAACCAAACGUGCUCUUUUCUUAAAAAGAAAACAACAGCAUUUUUUAGACUUAGUGCUCUAAAAGAAUUCCAGUAAAUGCUGCCCAGGAAACCCAUUUGGCUGCCUCAGCUAUCCAAGAAUAUUUUUAAUGCGACGACGAAGAACAUUUUAUGACUAUUUGUUUUUUUAAUGUGAAGUUCCAUCUGGUUGACAAACCUAUCUGGAGAGAGAAGGCUCCCCAUCAAAGCCAUCCUGGAUAAUUUUGGUAGCCACUGUUGUGUGGCUCUCUACAUGUAAAAUAAGAAUAUGCAUCCAUUUAAAAAAUUUCUGCCUAUCUAAUGCCUUAAAAAAAAAACAGAUUCAAGUGGAACUUGUGCAAAAUACCACCAGAAAGGUGAUUUAAACACCUUUUCUCUUCCACUACUGUCCUUCAAAGGUCUGCUGCUCCCUGUGAAGGCCAGAUACAUUAUGCUUCAUGAAGAUACAUGCUUUUAUUUGCCCUUGUUACGCUUUUCUUUCACUGGUAAUUACCACUGCAGAUCUGUUUAACCUCUGUUGAAAUAAUGGCUUUUUACUGUUGUUCUGACAUCUUUGCUUCUCCUGCCUGAUCUGUUAAAACUGAUGAAACGAGGAGGUUUCUCAAACACAGUCUGAUGGAGGAGCCAGAAACAAGUGCAGAUUUAACUGGGUGUUGCUAAACUUGCACAUUAGAGAGAAAAUAAAAACUCAUCAGCAUACAUGUAGCUGUAUGCUUUGUGGAAAGUAAAAGAUAAAACAGGUAGGAAAACAAAUCUUUUCUUACCUUAUGUCCUUGCAUGCAUAUGUUUUGUUUUUUCCAACUUUCAGAUGUAUGCUAAUCCCAAAAUAAUAAAUCUGCCAGAAGUCUGACAGUUCUUUGUAUCAGUUGCAGGAGGUGGGGGAAGAGUCUGAAUUCUUAAAGCCCUGUUCUUUUUAACAGUUCUAACAGCGUUUGAUCCCAUAAUCUUCAUAUUAUAUAUAUAUAUAUAUAUAUAUUUUUUUUUUUACCUCCUAAGCUUGAAAUAACAUCAUUUUGAGAAAAACUGUAAAAGAUUAGAAGGCAGGAGAACAGUGUGAAGCCUGCCAAGAGUGCUUUAGUUUUGACUGCUCUUACAGACAUGAUACCUAAUCUCUUCUUAAAAAAAAAAAAUCCCAGUUCAGUGUAAUCAUAAUUUCUGCGUCCUCAACAGCAGAAACUUUCAUUCAAGGCAUUGGAAGACACUUUGGAAUUUAUUUGAUAUCAACAAAGCAGAAGUAAGGAGGAUUAUAGUUAGAAAUAAAAGAUCUAUUAGGGUCUCUUGUUGAUUUCACCCUUAGAACAGGAUAGUCCCGUACGACAUAAUAAAUCUUCUUUUCCCUGUGGUAUUUUUAAAUGUCCUAAGAAACUACUUUAAACAUCUACUGAAUCAUGUGGCUAACUGAUACGCUUCUUGCCAGAAAGAUAAAACUAGGAAAUCAGUCACAUGCUCGAAGCUUUGCCGGAGGCUUGGCAGAAAGUCCACCUUUUCUUGCAGGUUUAGUGUUCUGCCAGAAUAAUGAUGUUAGGGGUGUGGGUGGGUGUCUGAUGAGUGCUAGUGCAAAGUAAAGCAGGUGGAAAGAGGAGGUAGGAAGCAAGUUCUCUGUCAGGGAGCUGUUAGAACGGGUUUCCAUGUUUCAGCAGGCAGUGUAGAUGUGAAAGCCUGUCUUGAAGUAGGGGCAGCGCAGAGCCCGGCCACCAUCUCUGCCUGGGGAGUGUGUGUAUGUGCCUGGUUAAGAUCUGACCCAGUUUGCAGGCAGAGGUUAACGACCUGCAGAAGAUGGAAUGAAUCCUAUUAUUUCACUGAAUUUAAAAUUUACUUCUGCGACUACUAAACGUGGAAGAUAAUCUGAUAAAAUGUGACCCGUGUUAUUUCCUUUUAAAUGAGUAUUGCUUUUUAUUCAUAGCUAUCAUAAGAUUAACAGUAGAAGUUUGCUCUGAAAAAAGUCUUUACAACAAUUUAUGGAGAUUAAUCUUCCUAUUUAUGUAAGUCCAGACAUUUACAAGAACAAUCACUUAAAUAAAAAUAGAAUAUAAAGCCUAUGUUUAAAACAUGGCCUUUAUUAAUGCUGUCUAGUGAGCUCCAUAUCUUACAUUGAAAGAGUUCUGCUUUGCUUAAGAAAAGACAGAAAAAGUGCAUUUACAAGAGUACUUUUUCUUUAAUUUUCUGCGAAAAUGGAAGGAAUUGGAAUCACAAGUUGACAAAUGUUGUAAAAUGAAAUUUCAAGAAACAUCAAUUUUAGUAAUGCUACGCCAUCACUAGUGUUUCGUUCUGACUUUCUGCCGUGUGAACCAGAAUAUCCUGAUAUACAGUCUAGAGCAUCUAUGUUAUUACUCUACAGCAUAUUAAACACAGAAAAAGGGGUUAAGAACCCCUUUCAAUGUACAAACAUGAAUAAAAAAAUUGAUAAAAAAA
Molecule: RNA transcript, 7524 nt
Organism: Athene cunicularia (burrowing owl)
Lineage: Eukaryota; Metazoa; Chordata; Aves; Strigiformes; Strigidae
Gene: TIMM9
Gene name: translocase of inner mitochondrial membrane 9
Exons: 5
Source: RefSeq, a predicted model, not a curated record